RNAcentral lists this ribosomal RNA (449 nucleotides) under uncultured bacterium. RNAcentral describes it as "partial 16S ribosomal RNA". It matches the Rfam family "Bacterial small subunit ribosomal RNA", at positions 329 to 793 of the family's 1533-position model. The record is from RNAcentral.
UGCCAGACUCCUACGGGAGGCAGCAGUGGGGAAUAUUGCACAAUGGGGGGAACCCUGAUGCAGCGACGCCGCGUGGGCGAGGAAGUAUUUCGGUAUGUAAAGCCCUAUCGGCAGGGAAGAAGAAAUGACGGUACCUGAAUAAGAAGCACCGGCUAAAUACGUGCCAGCAGCCGCGGCAAUACGUAUGGUGCAAGCGUUAUCCGGAUUUACUGGGCGUAAAGGGGGCGCAGACGGCGAUGCAAGCCAGGAGUGAAAGCCCGGGGCCCAACCCCGGGACUGCUCUUGGAACUGCGUGGCUGGAGUGCAGGAGGGGCAGGCGGAAUUCCUGGUGUGGCGGUGAAAUGCGUAGAUAUCAGGAGGAACACCGGUGGCGAAGGCGGCCUGCUGGACUGCAACUGACGUUGAGGCCCGAAAGCGUGGGGAGCAAACAGGAUUAGAUACCCCUGUAU